RNAcentral lists this ribosomal RNA (506 nucleotides) under uncultured bacterium. RNAcentral describes it as "partial 16S ribosomal RNA". It matches the Rfam family "Bacterial small subunit ribosomal RNA", at positions 29 to 523 of the family's 1533-position model. The record is from RNAcentral.
AGUGAACGCUGGCGGUAGGCCUAACACAUGCAAGUCGAACGGCAGCACAGAGGAGCUUGCUCCUUGGGUGGCGAGUGGCGGACGGGUGAGGAAUACAUCGGAAUCUACUCUGCCGUGGGGGAUAACGUAGGGAAACUUACGCUAAUACCGCAUACGACCUACGGGUGAAAGCAGGGGAUCUUCGGACCUUGCGCGAUUGAAUGAGCCGAUGUCGGAUUAGCUAGUUGGCGGGGUAAAGGCCCACCAAGGCGACGAUCCGUAGCUGGUCUGAGAGGAUGAUCAGCCACACUGGAACUGAGACACGGUCCAGACUCCUACGGGAGGCAGCAGUGGGGAAUAUUGGACAAUGGGCGCAAGCCUGAUCCAGCCAUACCGCGUGGGUGAAGAAGGCCUUCGGGUUGUAAAGCCCUUUUGUUGGGAAAGAAAUCCGUCUGGUUAAUACCCGGGUGGGAUGACGGUACCCAAAGAAUAAGCACCGGCUAACUUCGUGCCAGCCGCCGCGGUAA